GUCGAGCGGACAGAUGGGAGCUUGCUCCCUGAUGUUAGCGGCGGACGGGUGAGUAACACGUGGGUAACCUGCCUGUAAGACUGGGAUAACUCCGGGAAACCGGGGCUAAUACCGGAUGCUUGUUUGAACCGCAUGGUUCAAACAUAAAAGGUGGCUUCGGCUACCACUUACAGAUGGACCCGCGGCGCAUUAGCUAGUUGGUGAGGUAAUGGCUCACCAAGGCGACGAUGCGUAGCCGACCUGAGAGGGUGAUCGGCCACACUGGGACUGAGACACGGCCCAGACUCCUACGGGAGGCAGCAGUAGGGAAUCUUCCGCAAUGGACGAAAGUCUGACGGAGCAACGCCGCGUGAGUGAUGAAGGUUUUCGGAUCGUAAAGCUCUGUUGUUAGGGAAGAACAAGUACCGUUCGAAUAGGGCGGUACCUUGACGGUACCUAACCAGAAAGCCACGGCUAACUACGUGCCAGCAGCCGCGGUAAUACGUAGGUGGCAAGCGUUGUCCGGAAUUAUUGGGCGUAAAGGGCUCGCAGGCGGUUUCUUAAGUCUGAUGUGAAAGCCCCCGGCUCAACCGGGGAGGGUCAUUGGAAACUGGGGAACUUGAGUGCAGAAGAGGAGAGUGGAAUUCCACGUGUAGCGGUGAAAUGCGUAGAGAUGUGGAGGAACACCAGUGGCGAAGGCGACUCUCUGGUCUGUAACUGACGCUGAGGAGCGAAAGCGUGGGGAGCGAACAGGAUUAGAUACCCUGGUAGUCCACGCCGUAAACGAUGAGUGCUAAGUGUUAGGGGGUUUCCGCCCCUUAGUGCUGCAGCUAACGCAUUAAGCACUCCGCCUGGGGAGUACGGUCGCAAGACUGAAAACUCAAAGGAAUUGACGGGGGCCCGCACAGCGGUGGAGCAUGUGGGUUUAAUUCGGAAGCAACGCGAAGAACCUUACCAGGUCUUGACAUCCUCUGACAAUCCUAGAGAUAGGACGUCCCCUUCGGGGGCAG
This 989-nucleotide ribosomal RNA is filed under the name Bacillus sp. (in: firmicutes). Its description in RNAcentral is "bacterial SSU rRNA". It matches the Rfam family "Bacterial small subunit ribosomal RNA", at positions 61 to 1029 of the family's 1533-position model. Lineage: Bacteria; Bacillati; Bacillota; Bacilli; Caryophanales; Bacillaceae. RNAcentral also lists the same sequence under 1 other name. The record is from RNAcentral.